GAAACAGUGGCUAAGACUGGAUAGGAAGAUAAAAGGCAUCUUUUAUCUUUUAAAAGACCUAGUAAUAGGUAUGCUUUAGGAGGGGCUUGCGCCAUAUUAGUUAGUUGGUAGGGUAAUGGCCUACCAAGACGAUGAUGUGUAGCUGGACUGAGAGGUUGAACAGCCACAUUGGGACUGAGACACGGCCCAAACUCCUACGGGAGGCAGCAGUAGGGAAUUUUCGGCAAUGGAGGAAACUCUGACCGAGCAACGCCGCGUGAAUGACGAAGUACUUCGGUAUGUAAAGUUCUUUUAUCAAGGAAGAAAAGCAAAUGGCGAACCAUUUGUUUGCCGGUACUUGAUGAAUAAGCCCCGGCUAAUUAUGUGCCAGCAGCCGCGGUAAGACAUAAGGGGCAAGUGUCAUCCGGAAUUAUUGGGCGUAAAGGGUGCGUAGGCGGUCUAGUAAGUCAGUGGUGUAAUGGCAACGCUUAACGUUGUCCGGCUAUUGAAACUGCUAAACUUGAGUUAGAUAGAGGCGAGUGGAAUUCCAUGUGUAGCGGUAAAAUGCGUAAAUAUAUGGAGGAACACCAGAGGCGUAGGCGGCUCGCUGGGUCUUAACUGACGCUGAGGCACGAAAGCGUGGGGAGCAAACAGGAUUAGAUACCCUGGUAGUCCACGCCGUAAACGAUGAGUACUAAGUGUCGGGUUAAACCGGUACUGAAGUUAACACAUUAAGUACUCCGCCUGAGUAGUACGUACGCAAGUAUGAAACUUAAAGGAAUUGACGGGACUCCGCACAAGCGGUGGAUCAUGUUGUUUAAUUCGAAGAUACCCGAAAAACCUUACCAGGUCUUGACAUGUUUUUGCAAAAUGAUAGUAAUAUCGUGGAGGUUACCAGAAACACAGGUGGUGCAUGGUUGUCGUCAGCUCGUGUCGUGAGAUGUUAGGUUAAGUCCUAAAACGAGCGAAACCCUUAUCGUUAGUUGCCAGCACGUUAUGGUGGGGACUUUAACGAGACUGCCAAUGAUAAAUUGGAGGAAGGUGAGGAUCACGUCAAAUCAGCAUGCCCCUUAUGACCUGGGCUACAAACGUGAUACAAUGGCUGUUACAAAGGGUAGCUGAAACGCAAGUUCUUGGCCAAUCCCCAAAAACAGUCCCAGUCCGGAUUGAAGUCUGCAACUCGACUUCAUGAAGUUGGAAUCGCUAGUAAUCGCGAAUCAGCAUGUCGCGGUGAAUACGUUCUCGGGGUUUGUACACACCGCCCGUCA
This 1247-nucleotide ribosomal RNA is filed under the name Candidatus Phytoplasma citri. RNAcentral describes it as "bacterial SSU rRNA". It matches the Rfam family "Bacterial small subunit ribosomal RNA", at positions 153 to 1399 of the family's 1533-position model. Lineage: Bacteria; Bacillati; Mycoplasmatota; Mollicutes; Acholeplasmatales; Acholeplasmataceae. The record is from RNAcentral.